AGGAUGAACGCUAGCGGCAGGCUUAAUACAUGCAAGUCGUGGGGCAGCAUGGGGUAGCAAUACCCUGAUGGCGACCGGCAAACGGGUGCGGAACACGUACGCAACCUUCCUUUAACUGGAGAAUAGCCCCUCGAAAGAGGGAUUAAUACUCCGUAACAUGAUGAUAAGGCAUCUUAUUAUUAUUAUAGCUCCGGCGGUUAGAGAUGGGCGUGCGCCUGAUUAGGUAGUUGGCGGGGUAACGGCCCACCAAGCCUGCGAUCAGUAACUGGUGUGAGAGCACGACCAGUCACACGGGCACUGAGACACGGGCCCGACUCCUACGGGAGGCAGCAGUAAGGAAUAUUGGUCAAUGGACGCAAGUCUGAACCAGCCAUGCCGCGUGGAGGAUUAAGGCCCUCUGGGUUGUAAACUCCUUUUAUCUGGGAAGAAUCCAUAUAUUCUUAUGUGGUUGACGGUACCAGAGGAUAAGCACCGGCUAACUCCGUGCCAGCAGCCGUA
This 498-nucleotide ribosomal RNA is filed under the name uncultured bacterium. RNAcentral's name for it is "SSU rRNA". It matches the Rfam family "Bacterial small subunit ribosomal RNA", at positions 26 to 519 of the family's 1533-position model. The record is from RNAcentral.